UAUCUGGUUGAUUCUGCCAGUAGUCAUAUGCUUGUCUCAAAGA
RNAcentral lists this ribosomal RNA (43 nucleotides) under Trichophyton tonsurans. Its description in RNAcentral is "partial 18S ribosomal RNA". Lineage: Eukaryota; Fungi; Ascomycota; Eurotiomycetes; Onygenales; Arthrodermataceae. The record is from RNAcentral.